Molecule: ribosomal RNA, 1466 nt
Filed under: bacterium
Lineage: Bacteria
Description: bacterial SSU rRNA
Rfam family: Bacterial small subunit ribosomal RNA
Source: RNAcentral
AGCUAACACAUGCAAGUCGAACGGUAGCACAAGAGGAGCUUGCUCCUUGGGUGACGAGUGGCGGACGGGUGAGUAAUGUCUGGGGAUCUGCCCGAUGGAGGGGGAUAACUACUGGAAACGGUAGCUAAUACCGCAUAACGUCGCAAGACCAAAGUGGGGGACCUUCGGGCCUCACACCAUCGGAUGAACCCAGAUGGGAUUAGCUAGUAGGUGGGGUAACGGCUCACCUAGGCGACGAUCCCUAGCUGGUCUGAGAGGAUGACCAGCCACACUGGAACUGAGACACGGUCCAGACUCCUACGGGAGGCAGCAGUGGGGAAUAUUGCACAAUGGGCGCAAGCCUGAUGCAGCCAUGCCGCGUGUAUGAAGAAGGCCUUCGGGUUGUAAAGUACUUUCAGCGGGGAGGAAGGCGAUAAGGUUAAUAACCUUGUCGAUUGACGUUACCCGCAGAAGAAGCACCGGCUAACUCCGUGCCAGCAGCCGCGGUAAUACGGAGGGUGCAAGCGUUAAUCGGAAUUACUGGGCGUAAAGCGCACGCAGGCGGUCUGUCAAGUCGGAUGUGAAAUCCCCGGGCUUAACCUGGGAACUGCAUUCGAAACUGGCAGGCUAGAGUCUUGUAGAGGGGGGUAGAAUUCCAGGUGUAGCGGUGAAAUGCGUAGAGAUCUGGAGGAAUACCGGUGGCGAAGGCGGCCCCCUGGACAGAGACUGACGCUCAGGUGCGAAAGCGUGGGGAGCAAACAGGAUUAGAUACCCUGGUAGUCCACGCUGUAAACGAUGUCGACUUGGAGGUUGUGCCCUUGAGGCGUGGCUUCCGGAGCUAACGCGUUAAGUCGACCGCCUGGGGAGUACGGCCGCAAGGUUAAAACUCAAAUGAAUUGACGGGGGCCCGCACAAGCGGUGGAGCAUGUGGUUUAAUUCGAUGCAACGCGAAGAACCUUACCUGGCCUUGACAUCCAGAGAACUUAGCAGAGAUGCUUUGGUGCCUUCGGGAACUCUGAGACAGGUGCUGCAUGGCUGUCGUCAGCUCGUGUUGUGAAAUGUUGGGUUAAGUCCCGCAACGAGCGCAACCCUUAUCCUUUGUUGCCAGCGAUUCGGUCGGGAACUCAAAGGAGACUGCCGGUGAUAAACCGGAGGAAGGUGGGGAUGACGUCAAGUCAUCAUGGCCCUUACGGCCAGGGCUACACACGUGCUACAAUGGCGCAUACAAAGAGAAGCGACCUCGCGAGAGCAAGCGGACCUCAUAAAGUGCGUCGUAGUCCGGAUUGGAGUCUGCAACUCGACUCCAUGAAGUCGGAAUCGCUAGUAAUCGUAGAUCAGAAUGCUACGGUGAAUACGUUCCCGGGCCUUGUACACACCGCCCGUCACACCAUGGGAGUGGGUUGCAAAAGAAGUAGGUAGCUUAACCUUCGGGAGGGCGCUUACCACUUUGUGAUUCAUGACUGGGGUGAAGUCGUAACAAGAGCUUA